This 313-nucleotide long non-coding RNA is filed under the name Coffea arabica (coffee). Its description in RNAcentral is "long non-coding RNA (CARA_LNC004778)". Lineage: Eukaryota; Viridiplantae; Streptophyta; Magnoliopsida; Gentianales; Rubiaceae. The record is from RNAcentral.
AACAUCUAACAAAAAAGAAAAAAAGGGAAAAAGGUUUCCGAAUUCGGUGAAUUCGGAAUUUACUGAAUUUUGAAUUGAAUUUGGAAUCGAAAUCGAAAUCGGAACAGGUGAAUUCGAAAUCGAAAUCGGUCGGUAAUUCCUACGCCAAAAUUUCGAAAAAUUCUGAAUUCAAACUUCCGAAUUACCGAAUUCGAAUUCGAAUUCGAUGCAUACCCCUAGUGGCUAUGUGUGUUGAUGGAACAUGCUGGUGAAGGAAGGCUUGAUGUGCACGAUUUGGUGGUUUUGUAUUUACAAAUUUUUAAUUUUCACCCCA